Molecule: ribosomal RNA, 460 nt
Filed under: Frateuria sp. Ellin222
Lineage: Bacteria; Pseudomonadati; Pseudomonadota; Gammaproteobacteria; Lysobacterales; Rhodanobacteraceae
Description: bacterial SSU rRNA
Rfam family: Bacterial small subunit ribosomal RNA
Source: RNAcentral
GCUCAGAUUGAACGCUGGCGGCAUGCCUAACACAUGCAAGUCGAACGGCAGCACAGCAGUAGCAAUACUGUGGGUGGCGAGUGGCGGACGGGUGAGUAAUGCAUCGGGACCUGCCCAGACGUGGGGGAUAACGUAGGGAAACUUACGCUAAUACCGCAUACGUCCUACGGGAGAAAGCGGGGGAUCGAAAGACCUCGCGCGGUUGGAUGGACCGAUGUUCGAUUAGCUUGUUGGUGAGGUAAUGGCUCACCAAGGCGACGAUCGAUAGCUGGUCUGAGAGGAUGAUCAGCCACACUGGGACUGAGACACGGCCCAGACUCCUACGGGAGGCAGCAGUGGGGAAUAUUGGACAAUGGGCGAAAGCCUGAUCCAGCAAUGCCGCGUGUGUGAAGAAGGCCUUCGGGUUGUAAAGCACUUUUAUCAGGAGCGAAAUACUGUCGAUUAAUACUCGGCGGGGCUG